GCGCUUAAUGGAUAGAUCCUGCGCCGCAGCUUAGCUGGACGAUGUGGUGAUCCACAGCAGCACCUGGAAGGACCAUCUAAUUUGAUUGGAAUGUGUACUGGGAGCCCUAAGAGAUGCUGGACUGUAGGCGAAAACGACCAAGUGCUGUGUGGCGUUAGAGGAGGCUAACUAUCUGGGGUAUACCGUAGGUCGGGGGAAUGUAAAGCCCCAAGUGGGGGAAGAUCAAUGCCACCGCGACCUGCCCACAAUCACUGACCAAAAGCCCAGUGAAAAACUUUCUGGGGGUAGUGGGGUAUUAUGGACAAUUUAUACCUAACUUUGGCACUGUCGCAGCCUCCUUGCAUGAGCUGACUCGAAAAAGUCUCCCUAACCAGGUCAAGUGGACGCCAGCUACAGAAGCUGCCUUAGAGUCCCUACAACAGGCCCUCUGCGGGGAACCAGUCCUGGUAACUCCAGAUUUCUGUAAGCCCUUUCUGUUGCGGAGAAACGCGUCCGAAAUUGGCAUUGGGGCGGUCCUGUCCCAGGUCCAUCACCUACAUAAGCCGUAAACUGUUGGCGCAUGAGAAGAACUACGCAACUGUGGAUAAGGAGUGUCUGGCUGUCCUGUGGGCGAUGGAAAAGCUGAAAUAUUAUCUGUGGGGUAGGAAAUUCAUCAUUGUUAAAGAUCAUGCCCCGUUGAGAUGGCCUUUGUGUAACCCAGUUGUUUUUGGAACUGCAGAAUUUAAAAUUCCAGGUGGAACAUUGGGCUGGGAAGCGGCCCGGAAAUGCAGAUGUUUUGUGAAGGAGGGAGGACUGCUUAUGGGCGGGCACUCCCUACGUUGGCUUGGAGCUGGGGAAAGGGGUAUGUGGCACCCCGGUGGCUCUGUUAGAAGGGAAACACCCUCCUCACGGUGGUCAGAGGCCCUUCCCACAUCGCAGGCCACUGGGGAAGGUCAUCGGAGGGAAAUAUCUCCCCAACUACCUGGUCCCUGUCUGGGAGAGCAGCAACAGUCGAGCAGCACCCAGGUUGAUUAAAGCUGAGGGAAGCAACCCAGGUGUGGCUAAUCUCCCCCUGAUUAAGACUGCACCACAGAUCUGCUUUAAGAGGCAGACAAAUUGAGAGGAGAGGAUGAAGGUGGGAGAGCGAGGACGUUUCAGUGGGAGCUGCCGCGUACCAUGAGGGCGUGAGUAAAAGACUGUUUGUGUGUUCAAGAUCGAGAGGAUGUUGAUGACCCAAGGAAACAAAGGAAGGACACACUCGGAAAAGAGUGGACUGUUCGGAACCAAAAUAAUCCCAGACCCAGCCUAACCCCUCUGUGUGAGCAGAGACUCGUUGGUUUCCUCGAACGGACUCGUGUACACCAGUCUGGUGGGAAAAAGCUUCAUGGUACUCCAGUUUAACGGGUAGAAUGAAACAUAUAAUCCACAGUUUGUGAAACCUUACAGAUGUAUCCAAAGCAAAGUACAGAUGGUCGGUUUCUGAAUCUCAACUGAACUAACUGGUCAGCAUCAGUUAGAACAUCAAAGGCACAUUGAUACUUUGAUGUCCAGGACAUCAAAGUCAUUAGCUACUUAUCUUAAGGUGACAGUAACAUGCUUAACUAUUAGCCCUACGGUACUAUAAACGAUAUAAACUGCACUCAUUCUAGACUAAGCAUGAACAUGAAUAUGUCGCAGUGUAACUUGGCUCCCACAUACCGGCCCCUAAUUGCGCUCUUAUCUGGAGACAAUUACCAAAUUAUAUGUGGAGCCACAUAAACUAAUGUAAUGUAUUACUGUCUAUUCGGUCCAGCAUGCUGGUCUUAGUCUUGAUCUGGACCUGACGCACCAUCCCGUACUUGUCUGGGACUGUCUGAACGAUCUUUCCCAUGAUCCAGACGAGCACGAUGUCUCCGAUGACAAAGUUGCAAGAUGGUCUGGACCACUUGUGGCGCUCCUGAAGCUGCGGCAGGUAUUCCCUUACCCACCGCUUCAAGAACAUGUCUGCAAUAUACUGGAUUUGCUUCCACCUUCUGCGUGCAUAAGGUCCUUACAGACCUGAUCAUCCUCUCCCAGACUCCUCCAUGGUGCAGUUGGAUGACCACUGCCUUCCCAAAGCCUACCAGCUUGAAACACUGACGCCUUCUAGCAGAGCUCCUGCAGGAUUCUCUUAGCCAUGAGCACGACUGGUGCUAAAAGGAUCAUACACAGAGCUCACGAUUGACACCUUCAAAUGAUGGAACAUUGCCUCGAUGUCUGCCAUGACGGCGACCUCCUCCUGUCUGAAUCUGGUGAUGACAUCAAUGAGGGUGCUGGUAAGAUUUGGUCCCCUGUACAGGUUGCUCCACAAUCAAAUACCACCCUGAGCUUUUUCUUUGUAGGGUGGUUAACCCCGUAGUGUGGUUGUGGUAGGUCCUUGUUCCUCAGUGGCAGAUCAAUGCUGUAAUGUCUUUCUACAAGUGUAGCUGACUCUGAGGCUAUCUCAAGAAUUUGUCGGUCUUCUCUGGACAUUUCCAGUUUCUCAUCCUUCUCGUACUCAGGGAAGUUGCUCUUGAACUGCUGACUCCAGAGUUCCUCCAGUCUGGUGCUGCUGAGCUGUGGCAGAUGUUUUCCCGGUAGAGUCCACUAAUGAUCCAGCCAAUCGCCUUUUACACGGCGUGAGGACCGCCCUUCUCUACGCUGGCGAUGAACUUCUCGGGUUCAAUGGCCUCGUGGCCGUCCCUCCCAAUAAGCAGACCUAUCCCUGUAUCUAUUUUGGUAGUUGUACCUGCUGCAGGUGGGGCCACCCAACCAGUUCCCCCUGUGAUGAGAUGUUACCUUUGGUUGCGGGAAUUAUUUUCUGGGAAUAUAUAUCUGGGAGCCCCAGGAAAUUGUUGCCGCCUAGGCUACUCACUACCAAGGCAGAUACUAUUUGAGUAUCGGCCCACCUCCAUUCCCCCUGGGUCUUUGCAGUCAGCAGCGAGAUGCGUGUCUUUCUGCGUGUGAUAUUAAGCUCUUUCAUCAGGUUCUCUGUACACAAACAAGAGGUACUGCCAGAGUCUAUGAAAGCGUAAGUAGUUGUUAUCUUUCGGCUUUUGUUGCUCUUGACUAGUACUGGUACUAUUCCCAAGAUCUUUCCGUUGUUUUCGGUAUUUGUUGGUCCGCCGUUGCUUGUGCGCGACUCUCCUUUGGAAUUUAACCCCCGAUUCAUCACCACGUUCCUUGUUUCUGGCUUUGAUCUUGUCUCCUCAGGCCAACGUUCCUUCCCUUGCCAUGUAUUGGGUCCCUGGCUUUAUCGGCCUUUCUGUCAACAAAGUCCACAAAGUCGUGGAGCAUAAAUGUUGAUAUUGUGGGCCUCUGUAUGCCACUCUUCCUCCAGCUCGCAUAGGAGCUUCACGUGGAAUCCUGUAUGUUACGCGUGUUGUUAAACGUAUCCAUGAACUCAAUGUUCUUCACAGCACUACAGCAUACUGAGAGAUAGAGGCCGAAGGACUGGAGACCUUUUCCAUUGUCUCAAAAAAACGUAUUAUAUUCUUCCAGGAAAAUUUUCGCCAAGAUCUUGAAUUGGUAGUUUUUCCCAAAUGUCAUUCCACUCGACUUAAGUUAUCUCCAGGCCGGAGUCCUCCUCCCAUUUCUGUCUGACCUACGUAGUGGAGUGGGUUUUGGAGUAAUUUAUAUAUCCGUGAGAUUAGAUGUUUGCUACCUUCAAUCUUAUAAGCCUAGGUGAAAACAUUUAACAGGUUAGAUUCCCUGUCCUGUUUGAUUUCUUCGUUAAAAUAAUCCCUAACCUGGAGAUACCUGAAGAAGUCACAUUUGUCUCCAGACCACCACCUUUGAUUAUAGUGCAGUAAGCAGUUAUACCUUUGAGUACCCACUGUCUAAAUUGCUUGUCUAGGCCAGAUGGUAAAAAAGUCAGAAUCACAAGCCACGCAUUUCAGUAUUCUGGCCUGCUUCUCAAGGGGAAACCUUUUGCAGGUCUUAAACCACACUCCGAGGGCCAGCCUGGUCCACUGGUUUAGUUUACACAUGUAGGAGUCUCGGUUUUGGUAAUCACCCAAAACAGACUUCGCUGGUAAUUCAAAAUGUUUCAGUUCUAAAUCUCUCCACUUAGCUGUGUAGUCGGGAUUGCACCAGCAGACAAGUAGUCUUAACUGAGCAGCAGUGUAAUAAUCCUCAAUGCUGGGAAGGGCGAAGCAGCCCUUCUCUUUGGAUAAUUAUAGGGUUUUGUAUUUAAUCCGGGGUCUCUUGCUAUUCCACACAAACCUUUAAAUCAACCUAUUCCAUUCAUUAAAGGCUGUGGGGGGAAUUGCAACAGGAAGAGACUGGAAUAGGUACAGAAGCCUAGGUAGCACAAUCAUUUUAACUGAUUCAAUCCUAUUCGACAUAUAUAGUGGUAAUAUCGUCCAUCUAUUAAGGUCUGCUUUAAUUGAUGUAGUAACAGGACUAUGGUUACUUUCAUAUAUUUUGGAGAUGUCCCUUGGGAUCCAUACACCCAGAUAUUUAAUAACCGUAGAGUUCCAUUUAAAGUUAAAUAUACUUGGUACUUCAUCAUUCGCAGUUAAGUUGUAACAAAGUAUUUGGGAUUUGUGUGUAUUCAAUUUGUAUCCUGAGUAGGAGCCAAACAAUUCCAAAAGGGACAUCAAUUUGGGUAUACUUUUCCCUGGGUAACUCAGAGUCAACAAAACGUUGUCCACGAAUAAACUAAUCUUAUAUUCAGUGUCCCUUACUGAGAUCUCCCUAAUCUCUGGAUCUUCCCUCACUGCCUGAGCUAAGGGCUGUAUAAAAAAUACAAAAAGUGCGGGGCUGAGUGGACAACCCUGGCAGCACCCUCUCUCUAAUGUGAUGGAUUGGGACAGGUGCCCAUUAAUUCUUAUUCUAGCCGUUGGGGAUGAGUAUAAUAAUUUAAAACACUGAACUGAUCUUUUGUUGAAGCCAAAUUGCUCUAGUACUUGAUAAAGAUAACCCCACCCAACUGAAUCGAAUGCCUUCUUUGCGUCUAGGCUAAUCAGUGACGCACUGAUGUUUUCCUAAAUUACAUAAUCAACCACAUGCAGCGUUCGCCGAAUGUUAUCUUGUGUUUGUCUUUCACGGACAGACCCAGUUUGAUCUGUGUCCAUCAUUUCAGAGAUGAUAUGUUCAAGCCUUUUAGCAAAAAUUGAUGCAAAAAGUUUAUAAUCAGUGUCAGAUAGAUAUAGGUUUAUAUGAACUACAUUCGCCUUUAUCCUUACCCCCCCUUAGGAAUUAUUGUUAUUACUGCCUUGUUCCAAGACUGGGUUGCCUGCCCGUCUUUGAGAGUGUAGUUAAAGCAUCUAAGGAGCAGUGUCGUCAACUCUGGUCUAAAGGUUUUAUACCACUCACCGAUGAAACCAUCAGAUCCAGGCGCUUUAUUUGCCUUCAGUCGUGAAACGGCUUCAUCCAGCUCAGCUAUAGUAAUCUCUGAGGUCAGUAAACUAUUUUGUUGGACACCAAUUGAGGGGAGAUUCCAGGAAGCGGUCUAUUUCAAAAUGAUCAGCCUUUUACGGUUGGCUGUAUAAGUCCUUAUAAUAGUCUUCUAAAGCUUGUUGAAUGUUCUCUAGAUUGUGGCACACUUUAUUAUUUCUUGAAUUCCUUAUUUUGUAAAUAGUCCUCUCAGCUUGUUUACGUAGUCUUCAUGAGAGAAGCUUCAUAGCCUUAGGGCCAGUUUCAUAAUAUUUUUGUCUACUGAAUCUCAUUUUUAUGUAAUUUUCUUCAUUCUAAAUCAUAUUUAUUUCCUGUCGGAUACAUUUCAGUUGAGCCAGUAAUUGUGGAUCUCUAUGAGUGGAAUGUUGAGUUUCUAAGUCCUUCAUUUUUGCUUGUAGUUCCAGUAAGUGUCUCUGUUUAUCUUUUUUCUUAUAAGUAGAGAAAGCUAUAAGUUGUCCUCUUAUUAGGCCUUCCAAGCAUCCCAUAGGACAUUAGGUGAUACUGUUCCAUUAUCAUAGUUUAGCAAGUAAUCAUUCAAUUCUUUUUUGAUGAAAUCUUUGCAUUUUUUUUAUCAUUCAAUAGACUUGGUUGAGUCUCCAUAUUUAAUUUUAACUAAUAUUAACUUUUUAUUAUCUAGGUGCAUUGUGAAGUAUACUCCUGAAUGGUCUGAGAAAUCUUUAAUACCUAUCUUGCAAUCGUUUAUCCUGUGUCUGUCUGCGGUGUACAUAAAAAAAUAGUCUAAUCUCGAGUAUUCUUAAUGGCGUGAUGAAUAGUAGGUAAUUUUUUUCAUAUAAUUACUGAAUUUGCAUUUUUUUCUUAUUCAAAUUUCUAUAGUCAAAUUUGGGCUGUGAUUGAACAUUCCAGUCGCCCCCACAGAUUACAACUCCCAAUGAUUCUUGAAUCAGUAGAUUAAAUAUCUUUUUGAUGAAUGAUCUAUCAUGCCCUGGAGGCAUGUACACAUUAAGUAAGGUAACUUCUAUGUGAUCUAUUGUACCUUUGAUUAGUAUAAAGCGACCUUCCUUAUCUUUGAUUUCCGCUGUUAGUUGGAAGUUUAUUUUAUUAGGGAGCAAUAUAGCCACACCCCUCUUAUUCCCUGAGUGAUGGAGAGUCCUUCUCUCCGUAGAUCAUCAGCAAACUCUCUUGCGUCAUUAUAGAUCCUUGGUCUGCUGUCAGACACCUUGAACUUGGCAGGAGGCGGGGUCUGAAACCGUACUCCUCUCCUCUUGAGCAUUCUUCUUAUUCCAACAUAUUCCCUUAUUUUCUUCAUUACUUCUGUGGGGUAAUCGUUGUCAAAGUAAACUCACCUGUCCUUGUAGAAAACUAAUUUCUUUUUCCAUGCGGUGGAAAGAACCUGGUCUUUGGUUUUAUUUUCUAAGAAGUUUAAAACAAAAGAUCUCGGCAAGCAUCUCAAGGUGGUCGCGGACCCAGCGAUCUGUGGCAGCGCUGUAUUUUGAGAUCAAUUUCUCCCAGGGCCAGCUCUGAUGUCAGAAAUUUUGCCACAAACGCCACCAUGUUGUUUUCUUACUCGCCUUCAGGGAUGCUGUAAAUGCGGAUGUUUUUCCGCUGAGAUUGCAGCUCCAAAUCAGUCACUUUUGUUUGUAUGGAAUCCUGUGCCUGUUUCAUUUGCAAGAGCGCGUCUUCAAAUGCCGAGCUACACUCUUCGAUUUCAGCUACACGCUGCUACGCUUCCUCCACAUGUGUUGUUGUGGUUUUUAGGUCUUCCCUGAUAUCUCCCAGUGCCUGGUUAAUCACCCCUCUGAACUCAGUCAAUUCUUUCUUGACGUCUGGGAGCCAAAUAAGUGUUCGUUCCGCAACUGCUUUGAUAUAAGGCACCAACCCUUUCAUAUGCUUCCUUGAUCAUGAGUCUGUCAGCUGCAGCUGCUAUGGCGCCUUGAAUUUCCCUCUUUCUUCCAUUUUAAUUCCCUUUUUAAUCUUGCAACCCUUUCCUGUAGCUCCAGCUUUUCGGUUUGUAUUUGUGUUUCCCUUUGGACUUGUGCUUCCAUUUCCAUCCUUUCCCUUUGGACUUGUGCUUCCAUCUCUGCUUCUUUCGCCUCCAAUAGUUGUCUGAGUUUAACAGUGACUGCCCGGGCCCGCAACGUAGCGCUCUCCAACUUUGCCUUCCGUCGUGCAGACGAAGUCGAAGAUAUAGCACGAGAGGAACCCUUGGAACCCGAUCUGGAAGCUCUGUCCUCUUUGUCGUAACGUGUAGCCUCUGCAACACGUUUCUCUGCACUGUCUAUCCAGACAACAAUCUCUUUCAUAAAGACCUUGAAGGCAACGGCCUUGGGUUGAACCAGCUAGUUUGAUUCCUGCUCAUUUCGUCCUAUUCAGCGUGUUGAUGAUAUGUCCCUUUGACGUAAAUAUCUGACACAUAGAACUCUUUGAGCAGCUCGUCAAACUUUUCCAAUUCGGACUGAAUUUCUGUUAAGCCGUUGUAACCACGUUCAUCCGUUAUUUGGCAUAUCAGCUUCUUUUGGCCCAUUAGUUGAGCUAGCCUUUCCCUUAACCCAAUGGCUUGCUCCUUAUCAUUUUCCAUUGCCUUAGAUAUGACUUUCGUCACCCCUCUGCUCUUCAGAACCGCACCAGUUUCAACAGCUGCAUCUUUGCUUCUUGCUCCAUUUGCUAGGUUAAUGGCUUAACUGGUUCCUUCUUCUUUAGAGAGAUGAACUUUACUCACAACCUCAGUACCUCUCCUUGACCAUCCAUCCGUGUGGAGCAGGUUUUCUUACGAAAGUGUGAGCUAAGACUGGUUGGUUUCCUUGAAUGGACUUGUGUACACCAUUCUGGUGGGAAAAAGCUUCACGGUACUCCUGUGUAACGGGUAGAACGAAAUAUUUAAUCCACAGUUUGUGAAACCUUACAGAUGUAUCCAAAGCAAAGUACAGAUGGGUAUGAAAACUGUCGCUCGGUGGUCGGUUUCUGAAUCUGAACUGAACUAACUGGUCAGCAUCAAGGUCAUGCUGAAGAACAUCAAAGGCACAUUGAUACUUUGAUGUCCAGGACAUAACCUACUUCUCUUAAGAUGACAGUAACAGGCUUAACUAUUGUACCUAAGGUUCUAUAAACGAUACAAACUGCACUCAUUCCAGACUAAGCAUGAACAUGAACAUGUCGCAGUCUAACUUGGCUCCCACACCCUCUCUCCUCUGGUUUCUCUCUCCAGGCACAGUAGAGGUGGACAGCCUCCCCCGUUCCAGGAUGGAUUUAAGUUAUUAUGCCCCACCUGUUAUGUAAUAAAACAAACUUCUUUUUUUUUAACGAGACUGACGUGGUCUUUAUUCCAAUUGUUGGUUGAAAUCCCCUCGAGUUGAGCCAGGCCUCUCACAAUACCCUUCACACUUGAAUUAACAAACAUAUACACCUAACAAAAAAUGGUUAGAUAUUCACUUGUUUAUUGAUUUCAAGAAAGCUUUCGACUCUAUUUGGCAUGAAGGGCUCUUUUACAGACUUCUACACUGUUAUAGGGGAUCUGGUUAACAAGUUCAACUCUGUGAAGUCAGAUUUCUGAAAGUCAACUCAAAAUUAAAAAUUCUCUCAGACAGCAUAUGUUGCUGCACAAUAUGCAUUAACAUGCCACCACCUGAGGGUCAGUGAAUGACUGACAUGCAUACACACAAGAUAUACUGUAUAUAUAAUUAAUAUUAAUCAAAUCUUAAUGUUGUGUUAAUGUUCAUGUUACUGUUUGUUGUUUAUCAUUCCAAAUUUUGUAUUGAUGUCCGAAUGUUUACCAAAAUUGUAUUUUCAUGAUUUGGCAACAUUGUUGUUGAAACUUUUAAACACAUUGCCCAGCGCAGCACUCGACCAGAGCUCUGCCAACCGUUAGGUCAGGUGAACAACAAAACAAUACAUGGAAGAAUUAAAUCCCCCUUCCAAGUAUUUGUGCUUGGUGACUAUUCUCUUGGUCUAGUUUUCUUUUUUGGCCACUCAUGUCUACCUUUGCCGUGUGUAGUUGGCAUGAUGGCCAAGACCAGACGAGACCCCAGGUGCUUGGCAAUAAGCCUCUUGCAUUUUUGGGAGCGUCCUCUAACGGUGUGGAUCUGGUUCAGAUGUGGUCAAAUGGUCCGCUCAAGCCUGUGAAACCAACAAUUUAUUGUUAUUUGUGGGGGUUUGACUCGCGGGACGCACUGAGUGACGACGCGGGCCGGAUGCGGCUGCCAGUUACCCAUCCCCGCACUGGAUUGUGGCUGAGCUUGACUUUGUGGCCUGCCUGAACAAACCUUAUUCUCAAUUUGCUGAUAUAAACCAGAAAGAGUUGAAAUGUUAUUGCUAAAUUUUCAGAGUCAUGAAUCAAUAAUAAACAUGAACAUUUGUCAAUAUGGUAAUUUGGGGAUAUUCUGUAGUGGACCAUCUCAAACUUUAAAAUAUCUUCGUUGUGUAAAGCAACAUUGACAGUAUAAACCAGUACGAUCAGGUAUAUGGCUACCAUUAGCCAGGAAGACAUGACAAAGUAUAUGGCACAAGUGGCAUGAUUUAAUUGCAUUUUUGCCUUUAAUUGCAGGCCCUCAAUGAACUAGCAUUGCUCUGUUCAAAUCCAAGCUGCAUCAUGAAUUUGGUAAAAAUUUCACUUUUUCCCCCAACUAAUGGUAAGAAAAAAACACAUGAUGUAUGGCCUAUGUUGAAAAUAACUGGACUUCUUCCUUAAUAUGGAACUGUUUUAUCGUUGCUAAACCGAGAGCAUAAUCAAUACUCAAUACAUCUAUACACCCAAUAAUACCUUCAAACAUGUAAAGGUGUUAUUGGGGGUAUAAUUACUGCUAAAGGUUUUUAACACAACAAGGUGGUGCACUCAUUUGAAAGAUGCAAAGAGUUAAUUUGUGCAACUGAAAAACCAUGCUGACUUUUAAAUCACCCCUCUGCACACACACACACACGCCAACAUAUAUGAAAUGUGCAGCACAAAUUAGUUUUAAGGGAAAAAAAUAAAACAAUCACACAAAAUCAAUACAUAUACUGCAGCCCAAUUAUACACAUCUGACACAAAAUGGAGUAGAUGCAGGCUUUUAGAGAUAUAAAUGUACUUUUCUGCAAAGCAAUUGACUUUAUAAAGAUUUAUUUUCUAAUUCUGUUACAUACAGGUCGUUAUGUUUAUAUAGAGUACAUACAUGUAUACAUAUAUUGGGUAAGGUGAUGUGUGUUUGAUAAUCUUGACAAUAAACACUUACGAUUAUUGUUAAUCGUAAUUAAGUCA
Molecule: long non-coding RNA, 10564 nt
Organism: Scophthalmus maximus (turbot)
Lineage: Eukaryota; Metazoa; Chordata; Actinopteri; Pleuronectiformes; Scophthalmidae
Exons: 2
Source: RefSeq, a predicted model, not a curated record